AUACGGAGGGUGCAAGCGUUGUUCGGAAUUAUUGGGCGUAAAGAGCAUGUAGGCGGACUGUUAAGUCUGGUGUGAAAGCCCGGGGCUCAACCCCGGAAGUGCAUUGGAUACUGGCAGUCUUGAGUAUGGGAGAGGAAAGUGGAAUUCCGAGUGUAGGAGUGAAAUCCGUAGAUAUUCGGAGGAACACCAGUGGCGAAGGCGGCUUUCUGGACCAAUACUGACGCUGAGAUGCGAAAGCGUGGGGAGCGAACAGGAUUAGAAACCCCAGUAGUCC
This 274-nucleotide ribosomal RNA is filed under the name uncultured bacterium. RNAcentral's name for it is "partial 16S ribosomal RNA". It matches the Rfam family "Bacterial small subunit ribosomal RNA", at positions 523 to 796 of the family's 1533-position model. The record is from RNAcentral.